CCUGGAAUCACUUUGCCUACUAAUCAUGAGGCUCUUUUCAUUUGGAAAACACUUAGCUUCUGACAUCACUUGGCUUCCUAAAUCCAAAACUGUGAUGAA
RNAcentral lists this long non-coding RNA (99 nucleotides) under Fukomys damarensis (Damara mole-rat). RNAcentral's name for it is "lncRNA (ENSFDAG00000031135.1)". Lineage: Eukaryota; Metazoa; Chordata; Mammalia; Rodentia; Bathyergidae. The record is from RNAcentral.